GCGGAGACGCAUGUUUCCGUUCACUCCUCACACCAUCUUCCGCUCGGCGUCAAGUCGGGCGGUU
This 64-nucleotide small RNA is filed under the name Synechococcus sp. JA-2-3B'a(2-13). Its description in RNAcentral is "Cyanobacterial functional RNA 1". It matches the Rfam family "Cyanobacterial functional RNA 1". Lineage: Bacteria; Bacillati; Cyanobacteriota; Cyanophyceae; Synechococcales; Synechococcaceae. The record is from Rfam by way of RNAcentral.